UGCGAAUCAUAGACGGCGCGACAUCAUAGUCUUCCCUCAUGGCAGCCUUUUGGCGCGAAGAAAAGGAAAGUUUGAAAAAAUUACCAUAUCUUUGAACUGUUUUAAUAAAGCAAGAAAUUAUAUUGUGCAAAUCUGGAUGCAAGAUAAAGAAACUCUUUGAUUUUGUUCAUUCUACAUUAUUUAUCAGUUGAAGAUCUGUAGUAUGAUGACACCGUCGAUGGAAUGUUCGAUCAAAUCUUUCUGGGUCUUGUCCGUUAACAGGAGCACGGAGAUGUGAAGGCAUGGAAGUGGGGAUGAUGUCCUUAAAGAGGCACGGUAUUAAUCCUGGAGGACUACUUUGGUGGACGGACGUUGGAAGACAACUGAUUUCAGGUGUUUUUUCCGUUUUCUCUUGUUAUUCCUCUUGGGUUUUUUCCAUGAGGUCAGGUGGUUGUUGUUAAUGGUCUGGCGUCCAAUAUGAGCACUCUAUCGAAAGUUCCGGGUGACACAUCGCUGACUAGCUGGAUCCUCCUCAACAAGGAAACAACUCCGUGGGAAAUAAAUUUUAUGGCUUUUAGCCUAACUUGAUAAAACGCUCAAAGUUAAGAAUUUUUUUAAUAAUGAAAGUUUAAAAUAACACUUUAUGGGGAGUCUGUCCCUCACAUAUAUUUAAUAAUAUAUUAAUUUGUUUAGAGACAGAUUAACAACUUGCCUAUGAUAGAGAUUAAAGUAUAAAUAACUGGAAUUUUCAUUUUACUUUCAUCAUUGAAAAAAAACACUAUAUACAUCAUGAAAACAUUUAUCAUGGUUGAUUAGAUUUUUCUAUUAAUUAAAUAUUGAAAAAUUACUCUUCAAAGCUUUUCCUUAACAUAUGAUUAGUAGCAGUGGUUAUUUUUGUGUUACUUGAGUCAUUAUCAGUUCAGUUUAUGUUUAAUUCAUUUACCUUUCUUAUUUUGCUGACAAUUAAGUUAUCUCUAGGAAUGGAUCAUUUUCAUUUUUCUGCUAAUUCAGCUUUCUUUGGAAAUGAAAAUCCUUGUACUUUCGGUCCAGUCAGAUAGUUGCCUUUACGCAGGGGCGCCACUAGCUGUUUGAACGCCCGCGUGCAAUACCGAUUAUGUUGCCCCCUGUUUAACUACGAUUACUUAUGCUGAGCUUGCCAGAAAGGCUCUUUGCCGCCCCCUGGACGUGCCGCCCGCGUGCGGUGCACGUCUUGCACGCCCGCUUACGGCGGCCCUGCCUUUACAAUCGGUUAUACAGCACUUGUAUGGGCAUUUUGCAUGACCUUAUCACAUUUACAAAUCCCUAAUAUUUAUAAAAUGCUUUUGUAACACAGUCAACAAACAAAAAAACCCAAAUAUUCUAAGAAAAUUAUCCAAUAUUUCAAUUUAAUUACAAUAAUUGAAAGCAUGAGAACUUAACAGCAUAUGGCUACUAUUGUAAUAGACAACAAUUACCCCAUGAGCACUCAGGCCUGAUUAUGUAGGUGGCAUUAAUUAGUUUUACCUUUAACAUGGAGAAGACCUCAUGCGUCCACUUUUGUUAAAGACAUGGUAUGCACCUUGAUCCUGAAACUCACUGAAAUGGGAUUAAAAUUCCAAUAGUCAAUGAGGCCAUGGCUAUCAAGGCCUGUUCUUAGCUUCUUGAUCCCAUUGGAGUGUGUCAAGGCAGUUUCAUGAUAAUGUUGAUUAGGGGCUGUUACAGACCAUGGAAUAUCAUUUAUUACGUAUGAGUUAGAGUGGAAAAAAAUAAAAAAUAAUUUAUUGUCACACUUAUCUUUCAAAAGUCUAUGUCAUAUCUAUAAGACUGUGAUUUUAUUUAACUAUUCUUGAGAAAAUUUAUUAUUUUUUGCUAUUAAAAAUAUAAAAUAGUAAAAAUAUGCUUUACUCAAAAACUCAUUUGCACAUGUAUGAAGCCAACUGCAUUUAAAGGAAAAAAGCUUCAUUGUUUUUUUAAAGGAAUAAUUACAUAAUAGAUUAAGAUAUUUUUAAUAUCUUUCUUGUUACAGGUGUAUGGUUUGUUUACACUUUUAUUUAUCUUGUCACUAUUUUUUUGGCAGUGGUUAAGAAGUAAUAUUUUACAUAAUCUUGAAAUUAAUAGAUUGGUGAUUUCUUUUGGGUGAGUCUCCCUGCCACAUCCACAUUGAAGCCAAGGGAUGAGACACACACAAUGCUUUAGUUGCAUUCUCAAUUUAAACAAAAUUUUUUGUUGCAUUGGUAAUUUGUCUAUGUGAUUUUUCACAGCUAGGACCAUUCCAGUAAGUCUGAGUUGAGGAUAAUGGAAGCUUCUUGUCCUGAAAUCUAAUCAUGUCGUUUGUUGAUGAUGAUGUCUGGCUCUCUAUAAAAUUUUCUGUAGCCUGUCUGCAUUUGUGUGUCUAGCACAACAUGACACAGAUAGCCUGCUACUAUACCAGUGGCCCAGAAAAGUGAGAUAUAGGGAAAUAACAUUGAAAAUCAACCAAUAUAAAAUUACAACUGCCUGACUAUUUAAAAGGCUACUGAUGUUCAGCUUGCAUUAAUUAUGAAAAUUGAAACUUAUUGGUUCAAGAAUUAUUAAGUUUCAAUAGGUAAAUGUUAAAAACAAAAAAAAAUCUACUAAUCCAUGGAUAUAAAAAAGAAUUUAUUUUAAA
This 2605-nucleotide long non-coding RNA is filed under the name Centruroides sculpturatus (bark scorpion). RNAcentral describes it as "uncharacterized LOC111629723, transcript variant X2". Lineage: Eukaryota; Metazoa; Arthropoda; Arachnida; Scorpiones; Buthidae. The record is from RNAcentral.